UACAGAGGUGGCAAGCGUUGUUCGGAAUUACUGGGCGUAAAGGGCGCGUAGGCGGCCUACUAAGUCAGACGUGAAAUCCCCAGGCUCAACUUGGGAACUGCGUCUGAUACUGGAUGGCUUGAAUUCGGGAGAGGGAUGCAGAAUUCCAGGUGUAGCGGUGAAAUGCGUAGAUAUCUGGAGGAAUACCGGUGGCGAAGGCGGCAUCCUGGAUCGAUACUGACGCUGAGGCGCGAAAGCGUGGGGAGCAAACAGG
Molecule: ribosomal RNA, 253 nt
Filed under: uncultured bacterium
Lineage: Bacteria
Description: partial 16S ribosomal RNA
Rfam family: Bacterial small subunit ribosomal RNA
Source: RNAcentral